CUGAGUUUACGCUCUACAACCCUUUGUGAACAUACCUAUAACUGUUGCUUCGGCGGGUAGGGUCUCCGCGACACUCCCGGCCUCCCGCCCCCGGGCGGGUCGGCGCCCGCCGGAGGAUAACCAAACUCUGAUGUAACGACGUUUCUUCUGAGUGGUACAAGCAAAUAAUCAA
Molecule: unclassified non-coding RNA, 172 nt
Filed under: Colletotrichum gloeosporioides
Lineage: Eukaryota; Fungi; Ascomycota; Sordariomycetes; Glomerellales; Glomerellaceae
Description: ITS1
Source: RNAcentral